GUCCAACACAUAUUCUGGGGCCUAAACCCCAUGGGAAGAAGGAGGCUAAAUGCCUGCGAGGCUCAAUAAAUCUCUGAGGAUUAAACUUGUCAGCAUCUUCUCCCCAUAUCCCAGGAUCAUGGUGGGUGGCAAUUACAACAAGAGCAAGUUGUGUAUCGCCGGGAAUGUCAAGAUCGCUUAGCUUAACAUCUUUGCAGGUUCUCCUCAUCAGCAUUGUGACUGGAGCGUAGAGUCUAAGCGUUUCAUUUAUUAUCAUGUUUAUAAUUUUAAGUUGGCUAAGAUUAUCUGCAGUGGGAUGUUCAUUGUCUUUGCAAACAAGAUUGAUUUCUUCUCUGGCCUUUGUUUGCCAAUCUUGAUGCAUUGCUAGAAGUACAAGUGCCCAAGUUAAACUAUUAGCACUUGUUUCCUUGCCUGCAA
Molecule: unclassified non-coding RNA, 417 nt
Filed under: Hevea brasiliensis (rubber tree)
Lineage: Eukaryota; Viridiplantae; Streptophyta; Magnoliopsida; Malpighiales; Euphorbiaceae
Source: RNAcentral